RNAcentral lists this ribosomal RNA (549 nucleotides) under uncultured bacterium. Its description in RNAcentral is "bacterial SSU rRNA". It matches the Rfam family "Bacterial small subunit ribosomal RNA", at positions 773 to 1324 of the family's 1533-position model. The record is from RNAcentral.
ACGGAAUAGAUACCCGGGUAGUCCACGCCCUAAACGAUGUCUACUAGUUGUCGGGGAUUCAUUUCCUUGGUAAACGCAGCUAAACGCGUGAAAGUAGACCGCCUGGGGAGUACGGCCGCAAGGUUAAAACUCAAAGGAAUUGACGGGGACCCGCACAAGCGGUGGAUGAUGUGGAUUAAUUCGAUGCAACGCGAAAAACCUUACCUACGCUUGACAUGCCAGGAACUUUCCAGAGAUGGAUUGGUGCCCGAAAGGGAACCUGGACACAGGUGCUGCAUGGCUGUCGUCAGCUCGUGUCGUGAGAUGUUGGGUUAAGUCCCGCAACGAGCGCAACCCGUUAUCCUUAGUUGCUACGCAAGGGCACUCUAGGGAGACUGCCGGUGACAAACCGGAGGAAGGUGGGGAUGACGUCAAGUCCUCAUGGCCCUUAUGUGUAGGGCUUCACACGUCAUACAAUGGUCGGUACAGAGGGUCGCCAACCCGCGAGGGGAGCCAAUCCCAGAAAACCGAUCGUAGUCCGGAUUGCAGUCUGCAACUCGACUGCAUGAA